RNAcentral lists this ribosomal RNA (378 nucleotides) under uncultured bacterium. Its description in RNAcentral is "bacterial SSU rRNA". It matches the Rfam family "Bacterial small subunit ribosomal RNA", at positions 524 to 898 of the family's 1533-position model. The record is from RNAcentral.
UACGUAGGGAGCAAGCGUUGUCCGGAUUCAUUGGGCGUAAAGAGCUCGUAGGCGGUUCAGUAAGUCGGGUGUGAAAGCUCCGAGCUCAACUCGGAGAGGCCACCCGAUACUGCUGUGACUUGAGUCCAGUAGAGGAGUGUGGAAUUCCUGGUGUAGCGGUGAAAUGCGCAGAUAUCAGGAGGAACACCCGUAGCGAAGGCGGCACUCUGGGCUGGUACUGACGCUGAGGAGCGAAAGUGUGGGUAGCAAACAGGAUUAGAUACCCUGGUAGUCCACACCGUAAACGUUGGGCACUAGGUGUGGGGGGGAGUCAACCCCCUCCGUGCCGUAGCUAACGCAUUAAGUGCCCCGCCUGGGGAGUACGGCCGCAAGGCUAAA